Non-coding RNA from Erythranthe guttata (spotted monkey flower), 2634 nucleotides. The record is from RefSeq and is a predicted model, not a curated record. NCBI's taxonomy places the organism in Eukaryota, Viridiplantae, Streptophyta, Magnoliopsida, Lamiales, Phrymaceae.
CCACCAAUCAGCGUUCGUUGUUAUUUUCUUUUCCAUUUAAUUUCCAAGCUGCUCGACCGUCUGGUGUGUGCUUGAUUUUCGAUUUUUUUUUAUUCUGAUUGCUGAGAAACGACGCCGCUUUGGCACCUCCGCCCUUAACCAUGGCCAACCAUUGUUGACCUCCGCCGUUGAUUAGUCAGCCGCCCGCCGCCGCUCCACCCGAUGCACCUAUCUCACGCACCGAUUUUUUUCUCCAAUAGUAUGCGUCGCCGCCCUCCUCAUCUCUAUCUUCAAUUUGUGGGCUGUCAUAUACUGCUGCUGUAAACGCUGUCCGAUGCGCGUUCAAUUCUUUCACGUGUUUUUGCUUUAAUUGUUCUAAUAAAGCUCUGUGGUGAUCUUUGCUCUCGUCCUCUUUGCCGGCCGUCCAAACUCAUGGGCUUGUUGUGCUGCUAUUUUGGUUUUCAAUUUCACAUGGGUCAGUUUCAGAUUUGCAAAUUGCCCCGUAAAAGGGGCUUGAAGACUGUGUUUAUUAGAGAAGGGUCUGCUGGUUCAGUUAAUUCGGGGCGUAGCGCAAAUAUUCAGGGCUCCGGUGGUGGUGGUGGUGUGAUGCACGCGCCACCUGUUUUCAAGAAUCUGACAAAUCCAAACCUCUCACUUCAUCCCCAUGUAGGGAUUAAUGGAGGAGCUGGAAGCACAUCGGCACUCCGUGUGGAGAACCCGUCGCCAAUUUUUUCUCAUGGAAUUAGUAGCAUGGCUGUAGUGCCAAAUGGGUCCCGCUCGGGUGCACAAACAGUUAAGAAGAUGAGGGGUAGGCCCAGGAAAUAUGUACUCGAUAGAGCAGGUAAUAUGUCGUUAGGGCUGACCCCUGUUUCUGCCGCCACUCCAUCGUCUGAGCGGAUAUUCGGGGGAGAGAGCACGAAAGAGGCGGCUGCCUAGCACAUGGUGGAAACAAAAACUCGCUCCUCUUGGCGAAUGGAUGAACGCGUCAGCGGGACUACCAUUUUCACCACAUGUACUACACGUUAGAGUCGGAGAGGAUAUUGCGGCAAAAAUACUGGCAUUUGCAUGACAGAGACUGCGAUGUUUAUGCAUCAUGUGAGGUAGUGGAUCGGUUUCUUCGGUGACACUACGCCAGCCAACAACUUCUGGUGCCAAUAUCACGUUUGAGGGUCAUUUUGAGAUACUGUGCUUGUCCGGUUCGUACUUGCUCUCGGAAAAUGGCAGGCCCCACAUUCGGACAGUGACAUCAACAUCUCUGUGUGUAGUCCUGAUGGCCAUAUGAUUGGAAGUGCAAUAGGUGGUAGUCUUAUCGCAGCAAACCCUGUGCAGACUCUAAAGAAGAGACUUGCCUCAGUGAAUGAAGAUGCACAUGUGAACUAUAGGCCUCUCGAUUUAUCCAUAUCGCUUCGCCACAGGGAGCAUCUACGUGCAUAUGGACUCCAAAAAAUAGCAUAUGUGCUGCACUUUACAUCUAAUGAGUUAAUGAAAAGCUAUUUUUUUUCGUAAAACUUUCCCGUUUACAUGAUUGAUUAACUUUUCAGGGUGUUUCUUAUCGUGGUGGCUCAAUCUGUGUGCAUGAAAAAUUUAAGUUCCUCGCAUGAGCAAAACAGAUAAUCAGUAGGACGGAUGAAGUUCAAAAGACUGGUUAAGGGCAGGAAGUAGAAGCUAUGAAGGAGCGGAUAUGGUGAGACGGCAGUUGACAUGGGUCGAAACUGGAGGCUUCUUCGUGCUUUUGAUGCUAUGGCAAAGCUUUUCCCCAGGAUCUCAUGGUGGAGAGAUUUGUUGGAAUUUGGAAAUAGUUCAACAACCCUUUUACUGAUUUGUUUUGAUUAAAUUUUCAUUUAGUCUUUGCAUAUGGGGCUUCAGAACUUGAGAGCUUGAGAGAAAAUGUUAUCUUAAUGUUGUUACUGAGGUUUUUCAGAAUGCCCCUUCUAUGCUUAUUGUUGAGGUUAGAAAAGCAAAGUCAGAUACAUGCUAGACGCCGCUUUGUUCGAUUCUCGCCGCGGCCACCCCUUCCACUGAUACACAUGGUAGGCCACGUUCCGACGGCUUUCACCUACUUUUUUUCCACCUCGGCCCCUUCUCGACCACAUCGAAGAUUGGAUAAUUCAAAAAUAUACAGGUUUUGUGCCUUUUUUUUCACCUCUCCAUUUCUCUUCCAAAAAUUAUGCAAAUAUAUGUCAAUCAGCCAUUUUCUUUGCUGCUCCUGUUUUUUUUUUUUCUUACGGCAAGAUCGGUUCCACUAAAGAAAAAAAAAUAAAAAAAUAUGGUUUUCUGAGUUCCCUGUUUCCGUCCAAAAUUAGGCGUCGCGCUUCUAGCCAACCAGACUUCGUUCCAUGCUUCGGAAUUCUAUCGAAUGAGGUGGACUCAAAUUUUUUUGUCUUUGUUAUAUUUCAGCCAUUUUUCCUCCUGUCAGCACUAAAAGAUUCUGUUUUCCCAGAUUUUUUUUUUUUUUUUUUUUUUUAUUUCUCCUCUCACCAUGCUCUGUGUUAUAUGUUUCAUGCAUAGAGUUUUAAAAAAAAUAAAAAAUGUUUCAUGCAUAGAGACCCUAUGUUAGUGUUCUUCACUGACCAAAUUAUAAUAGACAAUAAAGCAGAUAUUUUGUAAAUUCAUAUUGAAAAGAAAGCUAAAACAAAAGUGCUUGUUUUUGGUUGC